UACGUAGGGUGCGAGCGUUAAUCGGAAUUACUGGGCGUAAAGUGUGCGCAGGCGGCGUUGCAAGUCGAGUGUGAAAUCCCCGAGCUUAACUUGGGAAUUGCGCUCGAAACUACGAUGCUCGAGUAUGGCAGAGGAAGGUGGAAUUCCACGUGUAGCGGUGAAAUGCGUAGAGAUGUGGAGGAACACCGAUGGCGAAGGCAGCCUUCUGGGCCAGCACUGACACUGAGGCACGAAAGCGUGGGGAGCAAACAGG
Molecule: ribosomal RNA, 253 nt
Filed under: uncultured bacterium
Lineage: Bacteria
Description: partial 16S ribosomal RNA
Rfam family: Bacterial small subunit ribosomal RNA
Source: RNAcentral